RNAcentral lists this ribosomal RNA (573 nucleotides) under Atelopus moropukaqumir. RNAcentral describes it as "partial large subunit ribosomal RNA". It matches the Rfam family "Bacterial large subunit ribosomal RNA", at positions 1811 to 2604 of the family's 2925-position model. The record is from RNAcentral. Lineage: Eukaryota; Metazoa; Chordata; Amphibia; Anura; Bufonidae.
AAACAUCGCCUCUUGUUUCAUAUAAGAGGUCCCGCCUGCCCAGUGAUUUAAUUUAACGGCCGCGGUAUCCUAACCGUGCGAAGGUAGCGUAAUCACUUGUUCUUUAAAUAAGGACUAGUAUGAAAGGCCCCACGAAGGUUAUACUGUCUCCUAUUUCCAAUCAGUGAAACUAAUCUUCCCGUGAAGAAGCGGGAAUUACCCAAUAAGACGAGAAGACCCUAUGGAGCUUUAAACACAAUACCAAGUACUCUAACUUUACAAAUUUAUGAAUUGCAUAUAACACAGUACUAUGGCUAUUAGUUUUAGGUUGGGGUGACCGCGGAGAAAAAUUUAACCUCCACAUUGAAAGAUAAUUCUAAGCUAAAAGUUACAACUUCAAGCAUCAGUAUACUGACAUUAAUUGACCCAAUUAAUUUGAUCAACGAACCAAGUUACCCUAGGGAUAACAGCGCAAUCUACUUCAAGAGCUCCUAUCGACAAGUGGGUUUACGACCUCGAUGUUGGAUCAGGGUGUCCCAGUGGUGCAGCCGCUACUAAAGGUUUGUUUGUUCAACAAUUAAAACCCUACGUGAU